Chinchilla lanigera (long-tailed chinchilla) is the source of this 2137-nucleotide long non-coding RNA. RefSeq lists it as uncharacterized. The record is from RefSeq and is a predicted model, not a curated record. NCBI's taxonomy places the organism in Eukaryota, Metazoa, Chordata, Mammalia, Rodentia, Chinchillidae. The transcript has 3 exons.
CAUAUUUCCCAAACAAAAUUUGGUUUGACAGAUUCUCUUGUGCUGAUCCAAAUCAGGUCAGAUGCCUGCUGAGACAUCUCAUAAGCAGAUCCCGUUUCUUUUGGUGUUUACACUGGAGGGUAAGAGGAGGCCACCAGGUGGACAGACCCAUCAGUGUGGCAUGACUAUCAAAGCUACAGGGUGGGACAGCAAUCUUCCAGAGAGUCUUCCUUGAUACUCCUGAUCAGAGACACCUCCACGUGUCACCUUGAUGACAGGGCGAGCUUGUUUCCUCCAGUGCAGCAAGCUGUCCCGGAAAAUCUGGGCCAAACCCCUGUGAGUAAAGUAGAGCCUGAAGGACUCCUGCUUCGGUCUCAGAGUUUCUCCUACACAUCUGCUUUCUAAGCCCACGCUAGAGGCUCUUCUUCAGGAGGGCACACAGGCAGUUGCAGGAGAGGGAGUGAAGAAGUAGCCGUGGUUUUAGAUGCAGGGAUGCAUCCUUCUAUACUGCAGACACCUACUGCCUUUGUUGCCUUGGCAGAGUGAUUCAGAGCCAAUUUCAGGUGUCUCUGGGAGAUCCUGUGCUGCCUCCUCCAACCUGCGCCACGUUACAGAAAUGCAGGAAUCACAAGGGAGAAUCCAGCCACAGGGGAAGGCGCAUAACACUACAUCACGGAGUAGAGCUGCCGUUCACCAGGCACUAGCAUGAUGAGGACCGCCAGCACUGAUCCAUGGAAAAGAAUUAGAGGAAAACAACACUCAUCUGGAUGGCUUGAAAAAUUUGAGUGAGAAAGCACCAGCUGGUCCAGAGAAAUUCGUCUGGUCUGGAAAACAAUCUCAAGACACUCUCCUUGAAACCUAGAGAUCUCAGUUGACCAUGGGUAACUAAAACCACAGAAAGCAAAACAUUGGAUAAAAGUAGACUACUAUAUACAUAAGACAUUUCCACUCUUCAAGCAAGAAAACUUGGAGGAUUAAUUGUAUGUAUAAGAUUUUAAUCCUCUGAUAUGUGUCCAACAUCAUUUUACUGAAGUGCAGUUCAAAAGCAACAGGAUAGAAACUGGAAGAUUGGGCAAGAUUGUACCUGGACUUCCUUUGCAUAUGACUGUUGGAUUGGAAAGGAUUUUCCUUUUUAACAACUUUUUCCCUUCCAAAUAUAACCCCAAGCUGCUCUGUUCACUUCUCAUUGUAUGCCUUCAGUACUUUAUGGAUUUCCUUUGCCUUGGAAUUGUCUAACACACGCUGCUUUGUGAUUGUCCUUUUUUUCUGAUAAACCAGAAGCUCCCAAGCACUGGGUCUUGCUGCCUGUAAGCCAGUACUUCCUAAAGGCAGAGAAGGUUUCCCAACGUGGACACUCAAGGGCAGAGGCUCCUGCCUUCCCCAACCCCAGUCCCUUGGAGAGGGGCAGCUGUUUAUCGGACUGAACUCAGUUGACCAUCCAGCCACCUGGGGGCAAACCAGCUUGCUCUUCACGGGAAGGAAUUUUAUCAUGGUGAGAUCAGAUUCACAGAACAGAGUCCACCGGGAACUUGGCUACGAUGCCAGGAAUUGUCAUAAUCUGGAGAAGCAAUCAGAGCUCUCAAGCUGCCUUUCAGGCUGCUGGAACAGAAGGUGCUGACAGGGUGGGAGUGAAGGAAGGCCUCCUCUCAGUUUACUCAUCCCGCAGCCGCCCUUCGCAAGCUGCAGCAAAUAUUUUGUGAUGUUGCAAGAUGUUACAAGAAGUGAAAAGCAAGCUGUGAUUCAGCUGGUAGGAAGACUCUGCAAACAAAAAAGGAGUGAUCUGUUUUGCAGCAGACUAUGUCUUCUGCCAGCGUCCACAGACUGAAAUAUUGAAAGAGGGAAUCCUGCAAGACACUGCCAUCGUACAUCCUGCAUUUUCUACAUGGACCGACUCAAAAUCUUUUGGCCUCCCUCAUACCGGCCUGUGGGCUGCAGACCCCUAGGAGAUACGGAGUUCAAACCAGGGAGCUACAAACCCAUGUGCAUGUUUUGUCUGUAGAUGGAACGACAGAUGUGCUUAUAUAUACGGAUUACUGUUCAAAUCAGCACAAAUGUCACUGUGAUGAAUGUGAGAAAUUAGUUUGCAAUGUUACUGAAUAUAUCUUUGCUUUCUGUUAUGUGUUUUCUUAAUCAACUGAUACUAAAAUAGUUAAUAUCA